Molecule: ribosomal RNA, 484 nt
Filed under: uncultured bacterium
Lineage: Bacteria
Description: partial 16S ribosomal RNA
Rfam family: Bacterial small subunit ribosomal RNA
Source: RNAcentral
AGUGAACGCUGGCGGCGUGCUAAACACAUGCAAGUCGAACGAGAACGGAUUAUAGCUUGCUAUAAUUGUCAGCUAAGUGGCGCACGGGUGAGUAAUGUGUAGGUAAUAUGCCUCUUACUAAGGGAUAACAAAUGGAAACGUUUGCUAAUACCUUAUACUCCUUAUUAACAGAAGUUAAUAAGGGAAAGAUUUAUUGGUAAGAGAUUAGCCUGUAUUGUAUCAGUUAGUUGGUGGGGUAAUGGCUUACCAAGACUAUGACACAUAACUGGUUUGAGAGGGUGAUCAGUCACACUGGAACUGAGACACGGUCCAGACUCCUACGGGAGGCAGCAGUGGGGAAUAUUGCACAAUGGACGAAAGUCUGAUGCAGCAACGCCGCGUGGAGGAUGACACAUUUCGGUGCGUAAACUCCUUUUAUAUGAGAAGAUAAUGACGGUAUUAUAUGAAUAAGCACCGGCUAACUCCGUGCCAGCCGCCGCUGUAA